This is a long non-coding RNA of Ostrea edulis (European flat oyster), 1795 nucleotides long. RefSeq lists it as uncharacterized. Lineage: Eukaryota; Metazoa; Mollusca; Bivalvia; Ostreida; Ostreidae. The transcript is spliced from 2 exons. The record is from RefSeq and is a predicted model, not a curated record.
GUAACAAAAUCAAGUCAUUGUGCGUGGAACAGCAGCUUAUGUUGUUAGUCUACUACUUCAAUGAAAAUGGAUUAACGCAUGGAUUAAAAGUGAUGGAUUUUCAACGAGAAAUCAACAACUCUGUCAAAAACAUUGAAACAUUCCCACAAGUUUCUCUCUCUCUCUCUCUCUCUCUCUCUCUCUCUAACAUUCUAUAUACUCUAACGCUUGCAUUGGAAACGGUCAUAAAUGUGACAAACACAGAAAAAGGAUGAUGAUGAUGAUGAGGACACGUCUCACAAGACAAUUAUGUUUACACACAGGAUGAUGAUGAGGACACGUCUCACAUGGCAAUUAUGUUUACACACAGGAUGAUGAUGAGGACACGUCUCACAUGACAAUUAUGUUUACACACAGGAUGAUGAUGAGGACACGUCUCACAUGACAAUUAUGUUUACACACAGGAUGAUGAUGAGGACACGUCUCACAUGACAAUUAUGUUUACACACAGGAUGAUGAUGAGGACACGUCUCACAUGACAAUUAUGUUUACACACAGGAUGAUGAUGAGGACACGUCUCACAUGACAAUUAUGUUUACACACAGGAUGAUGAUGAGGACACGUCUCACAUGACAAUUAUGUUUACACACAGGAUGAUGAUGAGGACACGUCUCACAUGACAAUUAUGUUUACACACAGGAUGAUGAUGAGGACACGUCUCACAUGACAAUUAUGUUUACACACAGGAUGAUGAUGAGGACACGUCUCACAUGACAAUUAUGUUUACACACAGGAUGAUGAUGAGGACACGUCUCACAUGACAAUUAUGUUUACACACAGGAUGAUGAUGAGGACACGUCUCACACGCACAUCUCUUUCGACUCGUGAAAUUUUAUGUGAAUAAUUUACUCAAAUGUUUUACAAAAUUGUAUACAUGUAUUAUAUUUAUUUUUGAUAUCGGAUUAAGUUUAGAAGUUACAAUUCCAUACCGACGUGAUGCUGAGAAAAAUCUCAAAUUAUCUGAAUCAAUAAUUAGAUUGUUGUUCUCUCUAAAUGAACAAAGUACUGAAACAUGAUAAGUCGUAAUAUACUUUUACUUUUUUCUUUCAAAUUUACACACUUAAAUGUACAAACAUGAUGUCGACCUUUUCAUUAUUUACUUUGUUCAAUGCCUACACACUUGUGCAAUGAGUAGUAUAUUAUUUUUCUUAAAGCUGACAUAAAUUAAUAAUACGUGUACACAUUUCUCAUCUUAUCUGCCAUAUUUCUCUCUGAUACUUAUAUUUUCCCGCAUUUCGAUAGUAUAGCGGGGAAAUGCAGUAUUCACUAUGUGUACUUAAAAUGGUAUAGCCUGUACAGUGGCAUGAUCCAUGAAUGUUAUUCAGGUUCUGACCAAUAGAAAUGCUUAGGAAGGGGUUUCUAAGAGCUGGUUUUGUUAAAGUAUUCUAGCCGCCGUUCUGCAUGGGUUAAACAAACUUUCAUAACUUAAUGUAGCCUAUAUUGUUUAUAUUCUUGGUAUUUUUUUUUAGGUUCGUUCACAAACUCCCAACAUCUAGCGGCAUUUGGCAACGGACACACUAGAGUUUUUCAUCGGUAAAUAUCAUUUUAUCUCUAGCUUUUUCCUGGCCGGUCCUGAUGUUUGUUUUUGCUGGAGAAUAUUGCAUGUAUGUUGUCAAGUUAAACAUUUCAUGCACAAUUUUCCUAGUUUGUCAUAUGUAAAAGCAAAGCAAUCGGUUGUAUGUGUGGUCUGUAAUUAUAUAAAAUAUAUAAAAUAGAUGGAGGCGUUCGGCAUGUACGGCUGGCUGUCAGGAAAUAU